RNAcentral lists this ribosomal RNA (274 nucleotides) under uncultured bacterium. RNAcentral's name for it is "partial 16S ribosomal RNA". It matches the Rfam family "Bacterial small subunit ribosomal RNA", at positions 523 to 796 of the family's 1533-position model. The record is from RNAcentral.
AUACGGAGGGUGCAAGCGUUAAUCGGAAUUACUGGGCGUAAAGCGUACGUAGGCGGUUCGUUAAGUUAGAUGUGAAAGCCCCGGGCUUAACCUGGGAACUGCAUUUAAAACUGGCGGACUAGAGUUGAGUAGAGGGGAGUGGAAUUUCAGGUGUAGCGGUGAAAUGCGUAGAGAUCUGAAGGAACACCAGUGGCGAAGGCGACUCCCUGGACUCGAACUGACGCUGAGGUACGAAAGCGUGGGUAGCAAACGGGAUUAGAAACCCCGGUAGUCC